CACGCUCCUCAAAAUUCUUCCCGCCUCACCACUGCCCAACUCCAAAGCCAUCUCCACAUUGUUAGGCAUUCCAGCAGCACCCCACUUCCUGGGCCAGGAUCUGUGUUGGUUUCCACUUGAUGUUGCUGUAACGUUGCCACACUUCCGUGGCUUAAAACAGCACAAGUUCCUCACCUUACAGUUCCGGGGGCCAGAAGUCUGAGAUCAUCUUAUGGGGCAAAAUCAAGGCUGUGGUCCUUCUGGUGUCUCUGCGGGGAGAAUCCGCUUCCUUGUCUCUUCUGGCUGCUGGAAGCUGCUCACGGUCCUUGGCCCAAGGCUCCUAGGCAGCCGUCUUGUCACUCAGCCUCCCUCUCCCCUCCCUCGCUCCUGCUGCCUAGUGUGGGCCCUUGUGAUGACAGUGGGCCCACCUGGGUGAUCCAGCAUCCUCUCUCCCGCUUAACUUAAUCUUAUCACAUCUGCAGAAUCCCUUUGCCAUGGGAGACCAUAUUUACAGGCUCUGCGGACUCGUAUGUGGAUAUCUUUGUGGGGGCCAUUAUUCUGUCUGCCACAGCCACAGCCACAGCCACCUAGGGGUGUGCUGGCUCCCGGGCCAUAAGCUGGGCAUCCCUGGGUGGGUGGGCCCAGGAAGGGCUGCCACUCCUGUCUGCCAGGUGGGGUGCUCCUUUGUGCCUUGCGUUCUGCCCACUGGCUUGCACCCCUGGCUUGCCCAGGCACCUGACCAAGUCCAGGCUAGGCAGACAUGAGAUUAAGGGAGCACAGAUUUCUGCGCCCAAGUCAGGCAUAUUGCACUCCAGUGCCCAGAAGGCAGCGGUCGGGGGCUUGGCCCUGGGGCUGCAGGAACUCUUCAGCCCUGGCUGUGUGGGGUCAACCCUAAGGUGUCUCUGGGACAGGCAGGUGGUCGCACUGUUAGGGCUUAGGGACUGGUUUGCUGCUAUAACAAAGGUCCAUAGACUGGGUGACUUAAACCACAUGUAUUUUCUCACAGCUCUGGAGGCUGGAAGUCCAUGAUCGAGGUGGCAGCAGGGCUGGUUUCUCCUGAGGCCUCUCUCAGCAUGUAGACCGUCUUCUCCGUGUCUUCACACGGUCAUCCAUCUGAGUGUGUGUGUGUCCUGAUGUCUUCUUAUUGGACACCAGUCAGAUUGGAUUAGCCCCCUGCCCCUCAGUGACAGUUACCUCUGCAAAGGCCCUGUCUCCAAAUAAGGUCACAUUCUCAGAUACCGGGGGAUAAGACUCCAGCAUGUGGAUUUGGAAGGACAUUAUUCAGCCCAUGGCAGGGGCCCAGUCUCAUCUUGGAUUUGGGGUGGGAGUGCUCAGCAGACACUGGGGUUUCAGAACUGCAGGGUUUCUGGUAACGUGGUGCUGGCACAGGGUUACAGGCAUGGGUCUGGCUCUGAAGUGUUUGCCUUUGGCAUCCCCCAAGUCCCUGAGGGGCUCUCUGAGGCCCGCUGUGACUGCACUGGGUGACCUGAGCCUGCCCCGUUGAAGCUGUGCUCAGGGAUUCUGAUGCCUGGCAUCCCUAGUCCCCCCCGAGUCAGCAUCAAAGGAGGGGACUCUCCCUGUGUCCUGAGUGCUGUGAGCUCUGGCCUAGUGGCCCGCAGAGCCAGGCAGUGGUGAAACGGCCCCCACUGCUCAUCAUGCAGCCCGGGGCCAGUGCUGACUUAGUGCCUCUUCCAGAGGGGACCUUUUCCCUGUCCUUGGGCCUGCUGUGUGGGGUGCAUGAGGCCUCAGGUGCCACUCACAGAUUCUGGCCUCCUCAGGACCCAGCCCCACUCCCGCAGGAGGUCUGCUGUGAUUCUCCAUGCCCCCUGACGCCCCAAAGCCUGGCCCUCCCGUGCUCCAGCUUCUGCCCCAGAGUUUGUCAGAGUUUCUGCCGGUGCUUCCCGUACCCCCACCACCAUUCACACGCCUCUGCCAGCCUGGCCUUUCCCUGUCCAUUUCCUCCUGGCCUUGCUGCCAGGUGGGCCUCCUGGGCCAUUUUGGCUCGGCCUUGCCCAUGAUCUGCGGGGCUUAGCUCCCACACUCUCCAGAUACAUAAACAAGCAUUCCCCACAGCAGGGUCCCAAGGACGGUGGCAGGAGGGCCCCAGGGAUGGGGCUGCACAUUGGGCAAAGGCCUGAGUAUGUCCGCACCUGCUGCAAGGAGCGGCUUUGCCUGCCCGGCUACUCCAGGCCCCUCCCCACAGAGAGGGAGCCCUGGGGAGCUGCCGAGAUGGGGUUUGCUGAGAGCUCCAUGCAGCCAGGUGCACCCUGUCCUUAGAGCCAUCCUGUUGGAGGGUGGGCAGGCUAAAUGGCCCAUGCGUGCAGGUAGAUGCCUAAGGACUGGCUAGUGUUAAGGGCCAGGAGGCUGGGAGCCUGUCUGGGCCCCGAGGCAUCAGUCUCAGCUAUGGCAGAGUAUGAGGUGGGCUUGGGGCCCUGAAUCACCUAGAGACUGGCUUGCUGAGUGAGAUGGCAGGCGUGAGGCCCAGGGAGACAAAGCUUUGGGUGGCUGCUGUCCACACAGGUGGGCUCCUUCCUUCUUCCCCCACUGGGCCCUCAGCUGCUCCUGCCUCCCAUUUCCAGUGCUGCCUGGUCCCCUGAGGCCUGUCCCAGGUUGUCCCUAGGACUGUGAGUCCUUCAGCACCUCCCACCCAGCCUCUGAGCCUGGCUGCUCAGCAGGAUUCCGCCGGGCAGCAGCAGCCAUGGCCCAGCUCCCCACAGCCUCCGUCUUUGGGGCACCAAGAGCCUCCUGUCCUGGACUUUGCCUGGCUGAGAAUUUCACUGUGGUCUGUGGUGGCCGCCACCUCUGAGGUCAUAAGUUUGAGCUGGGCAUCAGCAGGGGGCACCUCCUGCUCUCCCGAGCUGUAGUUUUCCUUCCGUGAGUUCCUGCAGUCCUGAGCAUGGCAGGGGGACCCUAGGAGCAGGCUGGGCACUGAGCCCUCCCCUCCUCCUGCCUUGCAGAGCUCAGGCCCCGGGGCCUCCAGCGGCACCAGCGGAGACCACAGUGAGCUCGUCGUCCGGAUUGCCAGUCUGGAAGUGGAGAACCAGAGUCUGCGUGGCGGUGAGACCCCGGGCCAGUGGGUUGGGGCUGUCCCUGGCCCCUGCCAUCUAACCGUGCUCCCCUUGCCCCCCCAGUGGUACAGGAGCUGCAGCAGGCCAUCUCCAAGCUGGAGGCCCGGCUGAACGUGCUGGAGAAGAGCUCGCCUGGCCACCGGGCCACGGCCCCACAGACUCAGCACGUAUCUCCCAUGCGCCAAGUGGAGCCCCCAGCCAAGAAGCCAGCCACACCAGCAGAGGAUGACGAGGAUGAUGACAUUGACCUGUUUGGCAGUGACAAUGAGGAGGAGGACAAGGAGGCGGCACAGCUGCGGGAGGAGCGGCUACGGCAGUACGCGGAGAAGAAGGCCAAGAAGCCUGCACUGGUGGCCAAGUCCUCCAUCCUGCUGGAUGUCAAGCCUUGGGAUGAUGAGACGGACAUGGCCCAGCUGGAGGCCUGUGUGCGCUCUAUCCAGCUGGACGGGCUGGUCUGGGGGGCUUCCAAGCUGGUGCCCGUGGGCUACGGUAUCCGGAAGCUACAGAUUCAGUGUGUGGUGGAGGAUGACAAGGUGGGGACGGACUUGCUGGAGGAGGAGAUCACCAAGUUUGAGGAGCACGUGCAGAGUGUCGAUAUCGCAGCGUUCAACAAGAUCUGAAGCCUGAGUGUGUGUACGUGCGCGCGUGCGUGAGGCCCUGCCACGAUUAAAGACUGAGACCGGC
This 3731-nucleotide small RNA is filed under the name Pan troglodytes (chimpanzee). RNAcentral describes it as "retained intron". The record is from RNAcentral. Lineage: Eukaryota; Metazoa; Chordata; Mammalia; Primates; Hominidae.